CCCUUAGAUGUCCGGGGCUGCACGCGCGCUACACUGAAGGAAUCAGCGUGCUAAAACCAUUGUCGAAAGGCAUUGGUAAACCCAUUAAAAUCCUACGUGAUUGGGAUCGGGAAUUGCAAUUAUUUCCCUUGAACGAGGAAUUCCCAGUAAGUGUGGGUCAUAAGCUCGCGUUGAUUACGUCCCUGCCCUUUGUACACACCGCCCGUCGCUGCCCGGGACCGAGCCGUUUCGAGAAAAGCGGGGACUGCUGCUGUCGGGGCUUUCGGGCCUUGGCUUCGGUGGAAACCGCUUUAAUCGCAGUGGCUUGAACCGGGCAAAAGUCGUANCA
This 328-nucleotide ribosomal RNA is filed under the name uncultured eukaryote. RNAcentral's name for it is "partial 18S ribosomal RNA". It matches the Rfam family "Eukaryotic small subunit ribosomal RNA", at positions 1470 to 1796 of the family's 1831-position model. The record is from RNAcentral.